This 398-nucleotide ribosomal RNA is filed under the name uncultured bacterium. RNAcentral's name for it is "partial 16S ribosomal RNA". It matches the Rfam family "Bacterial small subunit ribosomal RNA", at positions 523 to 918 of the family's 1533-position model. The record is from RNAcentral.
AUACGUAGGGUGCGAGCGUUGUCCGGAAUUACUGGGCGUAAAGAGCUCGUAGGUGGUUUGUCGAGUCGUCUGUGAAAUUCCGGGGCUUAACUCCGGGCGGGCAGGCGAUACGGGCAUAACUUGAGUACAGUAGGGGAGGCUGGAAUUCCUGGGGCAGCGGUGAAAGGCGGAGAUAGCAGGAGGAACACCGGUGGCGAAGGCGGGUCUCUGGGCAGUAACGGACGCUGAGGAGCGAAAGCAUGGGUAGCGAACAGGAUUAGAUACCCUGGUAGUCCAUGCCGUAAACGGUGGGCGCUAGGUGUAGGGGUCUUCCACGACUUCUGUGCCGUAGCUAACGCAUUAAGCGCCCCGCCUGGGGAGUACGGCCGCAAGGCUAAAACUCAAAUGAAUUGACGGGG